UACGUAGGGUGCGAGCGUUGUCCGGAAUUAUUGGGCGUAAAGAGCUCGUAGGCGGUGUGUCACGUCGGCCGUGAAAACCUGGGGCUUAACUCUGGGCGUGCGGUCGAUACGGGCAUCACUAGAGUUCGGCAGGGGAGACUGGAAUUCCUGGUGUAGCGGUGAAAUGCGCAGAUAUCAGGAGGAACACCGGUGGCGAAGGCGGCAUCCUGGACCGGCAUUGACGCUGAGGCGCGAAAGCCAGGGGAGCAAACGGG
RNAcentral lists this ribosomal RNA (254 nucleotides) under uncultured bacterium. RNAcentral's name for it is "partial 16S ribosomal RNA". It matches the Rfam family "Bacterial small subunit ribosomal RNA", at positions 524 to 776 of the family's 1533-position model. The record is from RNAcentral.